GGGGAAUCUUCCGCAAUGGACGAAAGUCUGACGGAGCAACGCCGCGUGAGUGAUGACGGCCUUCGGGUUGUAAAGCUCUGUUAAUCGGGACGAAAGGUCUUCUUGCGAAUAGUUAGAAGAAUUGACGGUACCGGAAUAGAAAGCCACGGCUAACUACGUGCCAGCAGCCGCGGUAAUACGUAGGUGGCAAGCGUUGUCCGGAAUUAUUGGGCGUAAAGCGCGCGCAGGCGGAUUGGUCAGUCUGUCUUAAAAGUUCGGGGCUUAACCCCGUGAUGGGAUGGAAACUGCCAAUCUAGAGUAUCGGAGAGGAAAGUGGAAUUCCUAGUGUAGCGGUGAAAUGCGUAGAUAUUAGGAAGAACACCAGUGGCGAAGGCGACUUUCUGGACGAAAACUGACGCUGAGGCGCGAAAGCCAGGGGAGCGAACGGGAUUAGAUACCCCGGUAGUCCGGGCCGUAAACGAUGGGUACUAGGUGUAGGAGGUAUCGACCCCUUCUGUGCCGGAGUUAACGCAAUAAGUACCCCGCCUGGGGAGUACGACCGCAAGGUUG
RNAcentral lists this ribosomal RNA (549 nucleotides) under uncultured bacterium. RNAcentral describes it as "bacterial SSU rRNA". It matches the Rfam family "Bacterial small subunit ribosomal RNA", at positions 356 to 896 of the family's 1533-position model. The record is from RNAcentral.